GACGAACGCUGGCGGCGUGCUUAACACAUGCAAGUCGAACGGAAAGGCCCUGCUUUUGUGGGGUGCUCGUGUGGCGAACGGGUGAGUAACACGUGAGUAACCUGCCCUUGACUUUGGGAUAUCUUCAGGAAACUGGGGCUAUUACCGGAUAGGAGCUCCUGCUGCAUGGUGGUGGUUGGAUAGUUUCGGCGGUUGGGGAUGGACUCGCGGCUUAUCAGCUUGUUGGUGUGGUAGUGGCUUACCAAGGCUUUGACGGGUAGCCGACAUGAGAGGGUGACCGGCGACAAUGGGACUAAGAUAGGGACCAGAAGGGUACGGGAGGCAGCAGGGGGGAAUAUGACACAAUGGGCGGAAGCGAGAGGGAGAAACGCCGCGAGCGGGAAGACGGCCUACGGGUGGAAAACCGCUGUCGAAUGUGACGAAGCGUGAGUGACGGUAAUGGGUAAAGAAGCACCGGCUAACUACGUG
This 468-nucleotide ribosomal RNA is filed under the name uncultured bacterium. Its description in RNAcentral is "partial 16S ribosomal RNA". It matches the Rfam family "Bacterial small subunit ribosomal RNA", at positions 28 to 507 of the family's 1533-position model. The record is from RNAcentral.